Molecule: long non-coding RNA, 1123 nt
Organism: Salvia miltiorrhiza (redroot sage)
Lineage: Eukaryota; Viridiplantae; Streptophyta; Magnoliopsida; Lamiales; Lamiaceae
Exons: 2
Source: RefSeq, a predicted model, not a curated record
UUCCCCAUUCUCGACCCCCCCCCCUCUCUCUCUCUCGAUACUCUCUUUUCCUCCAUUGUUGUCCAUUGAAGAAAGCUUAGAGAAGCUUCAUCAAACAUUACUAUGAAAUAAUCCACCAUCCAAUCCAAUCAAAUACUAGCAUAUCUCAUCAAAUUCAAGAAGCUAGAGCUAAGAUCAAAGUUGGAGCAAAGUCUUGAUCACCUUUUAAAUCCUUGAAAACGAGCAGAGCAAGGAAGUAAGUAACUCCGCUUUGACGGGAGAUUUUGAGUAAGGUCUUCAGGUGGGCAUUAUUUUGAGUAUACAGUUUAAGAGCUUUUCUAAACUGUUUUAAAUGAUGAUGAAAUUAUGAGAUGUUUUGAUGUUUUGAGAUUAUGAUGAUGUUUGAGAAUUAUUGACUUGCCAAUAUUUUUAUGAUGAUGUUGAGCUUGUAUGUUUACCCUCUACUGAUGAGUUGAGAUGAGACGAUCGGGUCCUAGGCAGUUGAUAGCUAUCCUGCCAGGGCUAGUGUACACUGAGGUGACUGUGAGCCGUUGAGCGAAUCGGCCGGUCACAGUGCUUGAGAAGGAGGCCUACUUCUUAGUACCUGAGUUGAGAUGAUGAUGAGUUGUAGAUGUGGUACUUACUUGUUGAGUUUUGACUGCAGUCAUUCGAGUCAUUCAUUCAUUUAUUGAUGAUGUUGAGUUUUAACUGCAUGCACGGAAUUUUCUAACUGUUAUCCCUGGGUUUUGCUGAGAUGUGGCAAGGUCAAUUUAUAGCUCUAUGAGCAGCUUUGUUUUCGGCGAUAUGCCCACUGAGUAUUUAUGUACUCACGCCCUGCAUGUAUUUCUAAACGUGCAGGAUAAGCGGAGGGGGAGUAUGGUGCGGUGCUGGUGGGGAAUGUUUCGGGUUAACGUUUUCUUUCUCUAUCGUAUGUCUGUUUUGUCGAUAGAGUUUUUAUAUGAAGUUAUGUUAUAUUAAAUCAAGCAGUUUACUCACGAUUAUGUGUCUUCAUACAUAUAGUCGGUUCACCUUUUGUUAUCACACUCUGAAUAUUAUGACUCUACAUAAAAAUUGAGCUAUACUUGUUUUGCUUCUCAUGUUGAGAUUCCUGAUAUUUAUCGAGUUAUGACGAUGUUGACGAAUA